GACGAACGCUGGCGGCGUGCUUAACACAUGCAAGUCGAGCGGUAAGGCCCUUUCGGGGUACGACGAGCGGCGAACGGGUGAGUAACACGUGGGCGACCUGCCCUCAGCUCUGGGAUAAGCCCGGGAAACUGGGUCUAAUACUGGAUAUGACUCCAUGACGCAUGUUGUGGGGUGGAAAGCCUUGUGCGGCUGAGGAUGGGCCCGCGGCCUAUCAGCUUGUUGGG
RNAcentral lists this ribosomal RNA (224 nucleotides) under uncultured bacterium. RNAcentral describes it as "partial 16S ribosomal RNA". It matches the Rfam family "Bacterial small subunit ribosomal RNA", at positions 28 to 253 of the family's 1533-position model. The record is from RNAcentral.